UCCCUGGUAGCUCAGACAGUAAAGAGUCUGCCUGCAAUGCAGAAGACCCAGGUUUGAUUCCUGGGUAAGGAA
Molecule: transfer RNA, 72 nt
Filed under: Ovis aries (sheep)
Lineage: Eukaryota; Metazoa; Chordata; Mammalia; Artiodactyla; Bovidae
Rfam family: tRNA
About the family: Transfer RNA (tRNA) molecules are approximately 80 nucleotides in length. Their secondary structure includes four short double-helical elements and three loops (D, anti-codon, and T loops). Further hydrogen bonds mediate the characteristic L-shaped molecular structure. tRNAs have two regions of fundamental functional importance: the anti-codon, which is responsible for specific mRNA codon recognition, and the 3' end, to which the tRNAs corresponding amino acid is attached (by aminoacyl-tRNA synthetases). tRNAs cope with the degeneracy of the genetic code in two manners: having more than one tRNA (with a specific anti-codon) for a particular amino acid; and 'wobble' base-pairing, i.e. permitting non-standard base-pairing at the 3rd anti-codon position.
Source: Rfam by way of RNAcentral